This 468-nucleotide ribosomal RNA is filed under the name uncultured bacterium. RNAcentral describes it as "partial 16S ribosomal RNA". It matches the Rfam family "Bacterial small subunit ribosomal RNA", at positions 28 to 507 of the family's 1533-position model. The record is from RNAcentral.
GACGAACGCUGGCGGCGUGCUUAACACAUGCAAGUCGAACGGAAAGGCCCUGCUUUUGUGGGGUGCUCGAUUGGCGAACGGGUGAGUAACACGUGAGUAACCUGCCCUUGACUUUGGGAUAACUUCAGGAAACUGGGGCUAAUACCGGAUAGGAUCUCCUGCUGCAUGGUGGGGGUUGGAAAGUUUCGGCGGUUGGGGAUGGACUCGCGGCUUAUCAGCUUGUUGGUGGGGUAGUGGCUUACCAAGGCUUUGACGGGUAGCCGGCCUGAGAGGGUGACCGGCCACAUUGGGACUGAGAUACGGCCCAGACUCCUACGGGAGGCAGCAGUGGGGAAUAUUGCACAAUGGGCGGAAGCCUGAUGCAGCAACGCCGCGUGCGGGAUGACGGCCUUCGGGUUGUAAACCGCUUUCGCCUGUGACGAAGCGUGAGUGACGGUAAUGGGUAAAGAAGCACCGGCUAACUACGUG